AACGAACGCUGGCGGCAUGCCUAACACAUGCAAGUCGAACGCGACCUUCCGGUCUAGUGUCGCACGGGUGCGUGUCGCGCGGGAACCUGCCCUUUGAUUCGGAAUACCUCCCCGGGAGACGUUCUCAUAUCGGCAAUUUUCCUCGGACCAAAGAUUUGUCGCCUUUGGAUGGGCCCGCGUUUGAUUUGCUAGUUGGGAUGGUAUAAGCCUACCCAGGCGACGAUCCAUAGCUGUUCUGUGAGGAUGAGCAGCCACACUGGGAAGAAGACACGGCGCAGACUCCUACGGGAGGCAGCAGUGAAGAAUAUGGGACGAUGGACGAAAUCCUGAUCCAGCAAUGCGGGGGGAGUGAUGAAGGCCGGAGGGUUGUAAAGCUCUUUUACCCGGGAAGAUAAUGACAGUACCGGGAGAAUAAGCUCCGGCUAACUCCGUG
RNAcentral lists this ribosomal RNA (433 nucleotides) under uncultured bacterium. RNAcentral describes it as "partial 16S ribosomal RNA". It matches the Rfam family "Bacterial small subunit ribosomal RNA", at positions 29 to 507 of the family's 1533-position model. The record is from RNAcentral.